UAGGAGAUAUUGCUUAAUGGGCGAAAGCCUGAAGCAGCAACGCCGCGUGUGUGAAGAAGGCCUUCGGGUUGUAAAACACUUUUUGAGGGAAUGAGGAAGGACAGUACCCUCAGAAUAAGCCUCGGCUAACUACGUGCCAGCAGCCGCGGUAAAACGUAGGAGGCGAGCGUUAUCCGGAUUUACUGGGCGUAAAGCGCGUGCAGGCGGCACGGCAAGUUGGAUGUGAAAGCUCCCGGCUUAACUGGGAGAGGUCGUUCAAAACUGCCGAGCUAGAGUGCGGGAGAGGGAGGUGGAAUUCCGGGUGUAGUGGUGAAAUGCGUAGAUAUCCGGAGGAACACCAGUGGCGAAAGCGGCCUCCUGGUCCGCAACUGACGCUCAGACGCGAAAGCUAGGGUAGCAAACGG
RNAcentral lists this ribosomal RNA (404 nucleotides) under uncultured bacterium. Its description in RNAcentral is "bacterial SSU rRNA". It matches the Rfam family "Bacterial small subunit ribosomal RNA", at positions 355 to 775 of the family's 1533-position model. The record is from RNAcentral.